This 275-nucleotide ribosomal RNA is filed under the name uncultured bacterium. RNAcentral's name for it is "partial 16S ribosomal RNA". It matches the Rfam family "Bacterial small subunit ribosomal RNA", at positions 399 to 691 of the family's 1533-position model. The record is from RNAcentral.
GCGUGUGUGAAGAAGGCCUGCGGGUUGUAAAGCACUUUCAGCUGGGAAGAUAAUGACGGUACCAGCAGAAGAAGCACCGGCUAACUCUGUGCCAGCAGCCGCGGUAAUACAGAGGGUGCAAGCGUUAAUCGGAAUUACUGGGCGUAAAGCGCGCGUAGGCGGUUUGUUAAGUCGGAUGUGAAAUCCCUGGGCUCAACCUAGGAAUUGCAUUCGAUACUGGCAGGCUAGAGUAUGGUAGAGGGAAGUGGAAUUCCAGGUGUAGCGGUGAAAUGCGU